RNAcentral lists this transfer RNA (75 nucleotides) under Rhodanobacteraceae bacterium. Its description in RNAcentral is "tRNA-Gly". It matches the Rfam family "tRNA". Rfam says of the family: Transfer RNA (tRNA) molecules are approximately 80 nucleotides in length. Their secondary structure includes four short double-helical elements and three loops (D, anti-codon, and T loops). Further hydrogen bonds mediate the characteristic L-shaped molecular structure. tRNAs have two regions of fundamental functional importance: the anti-codon, which is responsible for specific mRNA codon recognition, and the 3' end, to which the tRNAs corresponding amino acid is attached (by aminoacyl-tRNA synthetases). tRNAs cope with the degeneracy of the genetic code in two manners: having more than one tRNA (with a specific anti-codon) for a particular amino acid; and 'wobble' base-pairing, i.e. permitting non-standard base-pairing at the 3rd anti-codon position. The record is from RNAcentral. Lineage: Bacteria; Pseudomonadati; Pseudomonadota; Gammaproteobacteria; Lysobacterales; Rhodanobacteraceae.
GCGGGUGUAGCGCAGCGGUAGCGCAACUGCCUUCCAAGCAGUCUGUCGUCGGUUCGAUCCCGACCACCCGCUCCA